UAAACCGGGCAAACUAUAUUAACAUAACACGAAGUUCAUCCUUCAACAGGUUCCAUCAAAACCCUAGACUAAAUAUUUAGCUACUCAUAAUUGCAUUCAUACUAACAACAGCAAAAGUCAUCAUAAAUGGUAAAAUACAAAAGGAAGAAAAGACGAACUCGAUGUUGAAUUAUCCUCCUUGCCUAUUGCCUCUCCUUGCCUUCAACUAAGCUGUAAAAACCUUGAUUAUGUCCCUUUGGGCGAGCUGAACCUCUUAUAGGUUAAGUGAAAUUAACCCUGAACUUCCAAGUUUGCCCCUGAAAUUAUAAUCUCCGAACUGGACUAGCGCAGCCGCACUCGUGCCCGCGCUAAUGGCCGUGCUAAGCUGGUCAUCAUUUUAGCUCAACUUUUCUCUCUACUUUCACACGCACUCAGCUCCGAGGGGAUUCCCUUGCUUCAAUUUUGCUCCAAACACUGUCCUAAGUCCUCAUAAGCGCAACUCGCUACUGCAAAACAUGAAAUUCACAAUUAGAACCAAUUUAUCGUCAUUUAACUAUCUUAGAACAGUGAAACAUAGUCAAGCUGGGGCAUAAACAUUCGCCAAAUUACAUGAAUCUAUCCUAUUAUCAGAAUCUAAUAACAUUAUAAAAGUUGUUGUACACCAUAAAUUUGCAUAACACGCCAUACUUUUUUAUUUAAAAAUCGAUCCACAACACACAAAAUAAAACAUAAAACAUAUAACAUAUGAAACGAUAAUUGUUAAUUAAAAGAGAGAGUUGAUGCAAAAGAGCUUGAGUAUUUUAUUGAUAGCAUUCUUCUUUUUAUACACAUAGAUUAGAAUGAGAUCCCAUGAAAAUAGACCAAUACAAAAGGAAAAGUAUACAAAGUGAAUCAAAGUGAAUAUUCUUGUGUCUGAGAAUAUCAAAACAAAUAUUCUUGUGAUUGAGAAUAUCACAAUCAAUCUUUAAUUUCCUUAUUAUUCCCCUGCAAGUUAGGAGUUGGUGAAACUACUCCUAACUUGAUCAGAUUGCGCCAAAAACAUGCUUUUGCUAGAGGCUUGGUAAGCAAAUUCGCCAGUUGAUCUGUCGGGUGAACAUGGAUUACUUGAAUCUUCUGUUAUUGAAUUUGAUCGCGAACAAAGUGAAAAUCAAUGGCUAUGUGCUUCAUUCGACUAUGAAAAACUGGAUUUUGUCAUAAGUAAGUAGUGCCCAUAUUAUCACAGUAAACUGUUGGUGUGCGAGAUAGAGCAAUAUGAAGUUUAGAAAGGAGAUUCAUUAUCCAAUUUGUCUCUGCGACAGCUCCAGCAACAACACGAUAUUCUGCCUCAAUGGAAGAUCUGGCUACAGUCCUUUGCUUUUUGGACGACCAACUGAUGGGAUUUGAGCCAAAAUAAAUAACAUAAGCAGAGGUAGAAGACCGAUCAUUCACAUCACCUGCCCAAUAUGUAUCAAAAUAAAUGUGUAAAGAUUUUUCGGAUUGACAACGAAGGAGAAGACCAUAGUUGAUUGUUUGCUUAAGGUAACGAAGAAGACGUUUGACAGCUUGCUAGUGUAUCAUUGUAGGCUUGUGCAUAAACUGCGAGAACUUGUUGACAGCAAAACUAAUAUCAGGCUGCGUAAAGGCAAGGUAUUGGAGUUUGCCGAUGGCACUUCGAUAUUGUUUGGUGUCAGUGAGUGCAAAACCAUCCUCAAGUUGUGGUGGUGUGGAGGUGCUGAGAGGCAUGGAAACUCUAUUGCAAUCAUCCAUACCAAAGUCUUUGAGAAUCUCACGUAUGUACUUUGAUUGAGAGAGAAAAAGGUUAUCAGCCAGAGGAAGUACUUCGACACCAAGGAAGAAGUUGAGUGGACCCAAAUCUUUUAGUGAGAAUCGAGCAGCAAGGGCAUCCAUCAAACUUUGGAGUGCUUGAGUGUUAUUCCCUGUUAUCACAAUAUCAUUGACAUACACAAGAAGAAACAGAGUAAUAUCCAAGUUUUUAUAAAUAAAGAGAGAAUUAUCAGAAUGAGCCUUGGUAAAAUCUGACUGAACUAAGAAAUUUCUUAGCUCGUUGCACCAUGCCUGGGGAGCUUGUUUGAGCCCAUAAAUGGCCUUUCGAAGGCGACAAACAUGAUUUGGAUAGUCAGGAUGCUCGAAGCCCUUUGGAUAUUGCAUGAAAACUUCUUCAUCAAGAUGUCCUUGUAAAAAGGCAUUAUUUACAUCAAGAUAGUGGAGCGACCAGCCGUGCAUCGUUUUAAUGGACAAGACAACUCUAACGGUUGUUGGUUUGACGACCGGGCUAAAGGUGGAAUCAAAGUCAAGGCUUGGACGUUGUGUGAAGCCUUUGGCAACUAUCUAGCUUUAUAUCGAUCAAGACUCCCAUCUACUUUACAUUUGACAUGGAAAAUCCAUUUGUUACCUAUAACAUUCUGAUUUUGCAUUGGUGGAACAAGGUCCAAAGUGUGAUUUUUGAGUAACGCAGAAAAUUCUUCUUGCAUAGAUGCAUGCCAGUGGGGGUCCUUAACUGCAUGUGAGACUGAACCAGGAGUAAUAAUUUCAUUAGAAAUGUCGCACCUCCUUUUCACCUACACCCCCGGAAGGAGGGCGUAUAUAAGGGAGUUUUUCCAAUUAAAGGACAAUCGAAACGGGAUUUAUUGUUAAGAGAUUCAGAGUCGCCAAUUGGGAGAUUUAUGGUGUCCCAAAUCACCGAUUGAAUCUCGAAUCGAGGAAAAGAUUAACUCUGUAUUACAGUCCGCGAACCAGAAAUCCGGGUAAGGAAUUCUGUUAACCCGGGAGAAGGUGUUAGGCAUUCCCGAAUUCCGUGGUUCUAGCACGGUCGCUCAACUAUUAUAUUUGGCCUAUUAUCUAAUUUUAAUAUAUGUUUUAGCCUAUGGUGCCAUUUUAAAUUAUUAGCCGCUUUAAUUAUUUCUAAGAAAAAUUGCAACGUCGUUUAAAAUACGUCUCGAACCACGUCACAUAAAUGCACCCGCAACUCUCGACAUAUUUUAUCUAACGUUGUUGAGAUUUGGAUUUGGGUUACAUAAAUGCGCACCCGAGUUUAAAGAAAUUAAUUAUUAAAAUAACGAGCCUAAAGCAACUCGUUUGCAACUUUGCGAGGGCCACAAAAAAUUCACUAAAUGUCGCACCUCAAUUUCGAAGGGUUUAAAAUUAAUUAAGCGAGGGCCAUGGGUUAUCUAAUUUUAUUUGUGGCACACCUCAAAUUUAUUAAAGGAAAAGCAUUCAACUAAGUGAACUACGACUAUUCACAUUAAAGCUAAUUUGAAAGCAAAUAUCACAACCGCGCCAUGGGAACCAUACCCGUAAGUGUGAUGAAUUAAUUAUGUGCCUAAAGCAAACCAUGAAAUUUACGUAUUAUUAAAUUCUAUAUCCAUUAAUUUACAAGGGAUCAAAAAUUACCAAUUACAUAGGGCUCUAUAUCAUCCCCUUAACUAUAAUAUAUGAUCUUGCUAACUAACUUUAAUGGCAAAAACAGACUUUUCAAUCGCACAACUACAAAGAAGAAUUCAAUUGUUCUGUUCUACAUGUUGAAACAAAAAUUCCCCAAAUACCCUUCUAUGCGUAAGUAGCUGUCAGCCUUGUUCAUAUCAGAGAUGCGCGAGCACUACAAGUAUUCUAAUAUUUCAUGAGUAAUCUAUAAAACAUUGACAGCAGCCGAAUAGGAGUCAAUCAAACGAAUAUGUAAAUCUGCUAAUUCAACUCAUACAAACGGGCGAGUCGCGACAGUAUGAAUCCACAUAAACCAUAUCUAAAAGGAAACAAGAUAAUAUGACAAAUAAUGGAAACAAACAGUUACUUAAAACUUCAGAUGUGAUUCAGUAGUUAAACAAACAAACAUCACGAAUGAAAGGGGCAAAAUAUUAGUGUCACGUGAGUUGUAAAACUGGAGCAAAGGAGAUCGAACAAAACAAUUCAUAUACCCACGGCACAAGAUUGGGAAAUUGGAAGAUGAGUAAAGUUAGAGUAUGACCUUUUAAUAACAAAUUUCUUUGCUUUAAGCAUGAAGAAACUCCAUUGAUGGAAAACUGGCCAGAAAACUUAAGCUAAAUGUACGGGGAUCUCGAACUAAAAAUCGGAUCUUGAAUGACGGCGAUGAACUCAACUCGAUCGGAAUAGAUUAUCACCGCAACUGACCUCGACCAUGGCAAUCUUCACGACUAACCUUAAUGGCUUUUGGGAGUGUUUUCUCAGCAGAAUAGAGGUGAGUAGAUGAAGCAAAAACGACUGGAAUGGCCGUUGGGUUCAGCUGUUGGGUAUCGUUCAGGUCUGGUUGGGAUGUGAAGAAGAAAGAACGACGUGAGGGUUGGGGUUGUUAUUGUGUUACGACGGAAUUGGGGUGGAGCUCGGUGACUGACUUCUAGGGCUGAGGUGCGUCGCUGGGAGGUUGCGAGGAGGUCCAGCGACGAUGGUGAGCUGAAGGGUGGUCAUCGACGGGGGGUGUGCGAUGGUGACGUUGAGUUGCUGUGUUCUUAGCUGCUACGAGUAAAUGAGAAGAAAACCUUGGGGGUCUGGUCGUUUGGUGUUCAGGCUGCUAUGGAGAUGGAGUUCUUGCUUAGGGUUUUUAUGUUAAGCCCUCAUGAAGAAGAAGGAUCGAGGGUCAUUUUGGGUGGGGGUCUGCGGAGAAGAUGAGGUCCAAGGGGUGGGUCUCGUAUUGUUCUGCACAGUUUUUUUUUGCUUUUCUCGUUGUUCUCCUCCUUUCAG
Molecule: long non-coding RNA, 4671 nt
Filed under: Nicotiana tabacum (common tobacco)
Lineage: Eukaryota; Viridiplantae; Streptophyta; Magnoliopsida; Solanales; Solanaceae
Description: long non-coding RNA (NTAB_LNC003308)
Source: RNAcentral